GUUUGAUUAUGGCUCAGAACGAACGCUGGUGGCGUGUCUAUACAUGCAAGUCGAGCGAGGCAGCAAUGCCGAGCGGCGAACGGGUGAGUAACGCGUAAGCAAUCUGCCCCAUAUCAGGAAAUACCCGUGCCAACGCGCGGUUAAUGUCCAGGAGAGUGGCCUUCCGCAUGGAGGGUUGACUAGAGAUUUAUCGGUAUGGGAUGAGCUUGCGUCCGAUUAGCUAGUUGGCGGGCAACGGCCCACCAAGGCGACGAUCGGUAGCCGGCCUGAGAGGGUGAUCGGCCACAUUGGGACUGAGAUACGGCCCAGACUCCUACGGGAGGCAGCAGUAGGGAAUAUUGCACAAGUGGGGGAAACCCUGAUGCAGCAACGCCAACGUGUGGGAAGAAGCAUUUCGGUGUGUAAACCACUGCAUGAGGGAAUAAGGCCCGCCUUCGGACGGUACUUGAAUGUACCUUGGGAGGAAGCACCGGCAAACUUCGUGCCAGCCGCGGC
Molecule: ribosomal RNA, 495 nt
Filed under: uncultured bacterium
Lineage: Bacteria
Description: bacterial SSU rRNA
Rfam family: Bacterial small subunit ribosomal RNA
Source: RNAcentral